ACUCCUACGGGAGGCAGCAGUGGGGAAUAUUGGACAAUGGGCGCAAGCCUGAUCCAGCCAUGCCGCGUGAGUGAUGAAGGCCCUAGGGUUGUAAAGCUCUUUCACCGGUGAAGAUAAUGACGGUAACCGGAGAAGAAGCCCCGGCUAACUUCGUGCCAGCAGCCGCGGUAAUACGAAGGGGGCUAGCGUUGUUCGGAUUUACUGGGCGUAAAGCGCACGUAGGCGGACUAUUAAGUCAGGGGUGAAAUCCCGGGGCUCAACCCCGGAACUGCCUUUGAUACUGGUAGUCUUGAGUUCGAGAGAGGUGAGUGGAAUUCCGAGUGUAGAGGUGAAAUUCGUAGAUAUUCGGAGGAACACCAGUGGCGAAGGCGGCUCACUGGCUCGAUACUGACGCUGAGGUGCGAAAGCGUGGGGAGCAAGCAGGAUUAGAAACCCGAGUAGUCCCAUGAU
This 450-nucleotide ribosomal RNA is filed under the name uncultured organism. RNAcentral's name for it is "partial 16S ribosomal RNA". It matches the Rfam family "Bacterial small subunit ribosomal RNA", at positions 335 to 801 of the family's 1533-position model. The record is from RNAcentral.